The sequence is a ribosomal RNA, 540 nucleotides long. The stretch from base 167 to 320 matches the Rfam family "5.8S ribosomal RNA".
AGGCAUGUGCACGCCCUGCUCAUCCACUCUACACCUGUGCACUUACUGUAGGUUUGGCGUGGGCUUCGAGGGCCUUCACGGGCUUUUGAGGCAUUCUGCCUGCCUAUGUAUCACUACAAACACUAUAAAGUAACAGAAUGUAAUCGCGUCUAACGCAUCUUAAUACAACUUUCAGCAACGGAUCUCUUGGCUCUCGCAUCGAUGAAGAACGCAGCGAAAUGCGAUAAGUAAUGUGAAUUGCAGAAUUCAGUGAAUCAUCGAAUCUUUGAACGCACCUUGCGCUCCUUGGUAUUCCGAGGAGCAUGCCUGUUUGAGUGUCAUGGUAUUCUCAACCCACACAUCCUUGUGAUGCUUGUGAGGCUUGGACUUGGAGGCUUGCUGGCCCGUCGCGGUCGGCUCCUCUUGAAUGCAUUAGCUUGGUUCCUUGCGGAUCGGCUCUCAGUGUGAUAAUUGUCUACGCUGUGACCGUGAAGCGUUUGGCGAGCUUCUAACCGUCCUGCUAGGGACAACUUACUUGACAUCUGACCUCAAAUCAGGUAG